RNAcentral lists this ribosomal RNA (202 nucleotides) under uncultured bacterium. RNAcentral describes it as "partial 16S ribosomal RNA". It matches the Rfam family "Bacterial small subunit ribosomal RNA", at positions 1300 to 1500 of the family's 1533-position model. The record is from RNAcentral.
GCAGGCUGCAACUCGCCUGCAUGAAGUCGGAAUUGCUAGUAAUCGCGGAUCAGCAUGCCGCGGUGAAUACGUUCCCGGGCCUUGUACACACCGCCCGUCACACCAUGAGAGCCGGUAACACCCGAAGUCAGUAGUCUAACCGCAAGGGGGACGCUGCCGAAGGUGGGGCUGGUGAUUGGGGGUGAAGUCGUAACAAGGUACC